AUUGAGUGUUUGCUCCUUCUUGUAAAUAGGUCUGGCCCUUUCUCUAGCGCUAAUCUAUUGAUGCAGAAUUUUAUCUCGAGAUCAAAUCAACUGGAGUUGGAUGAUAACGGCAGGUCGACGAUGAUGGCUGGACCUGCAAAAAAAUCUCCAAUCGAAGAUGGCUCCGAUGGAGGUCUUUCAAUGCUCAAGUCAGAAUUCUGACAACAGAUGGGAAGGAGU
This 219-nucleotide long non-coding RNA is filed under the name Elaeis guineensis (African oil palm). Its description in RNAcentral is "long non-coding RNA (EGUI_LNC009781)". Lineage: Eukaryota; Viridiplantae; Streptophyta; Magnoliopsida; Arecales; Arecaceae. The record is from RNAcentral.